Long non-coding RNA from Cygnus olor (mute swan), 520 nucleotides. RefSeq lists it as uncharacterized. The record is from RefSeq and is a predicted model, not a curated record. NCBI's taxonomy places the organism in Eukaryota, Metazoa, Chordata, Aves, Anseriformes, Anatidae. The transcript has 2 exons.
AGGUCACCCACUGUUUCCCUGGAGGAAAGGACCAGCAAACAAAACUGAGUGAUCUCUUCCUGUUCUUGUGUUUGCCUGCAAGUUGCUUUUGCAUUGCUGUGCGAAGGGAGGGUGGUGCUGAAGGUGUGGCUCCUCCUUGAAGACCAUGUGCAACUCAGAGAGAGAGGAAGGGAGAAAGAGCUCCUGCUGUCCCUGUUGUUGGAGUCUUGUGCACUGUACAUCACAGAAAAAUUAGAACUGUUAGAUUUUUAUCCCCUCAAUACUUUCAAGGAAGCAUGGAGCUGUAGUAGUUGCUUUCACCUUGAGAAGAGGAAUUCAUGCAGGUGGCUCACAGGUUCUGGAGGUCAAAAAAGAACCUGAAGAUCAUCUGCAUUUGGUCUAGCAUGACAGUAGGAAACACUGAAGCAACUAUCACUGACAGUGAACUGAAUCUGUUAUACUCUAGGCUGUAUUUCCUAUGACUGUAUAUGACAGUUUUCUCAAGAUUGUGUCAAAAGCUGUAAUAAAGCUUUAACAUGUA